RNAcentral lists this ribosomal RNA (1448 nucleotides) under uncultured organism. Its description in RNAcentral is "SSU rRNA". It matches the Rfam family "Bacterial small subunit ribosomal RNA". The record is from RNAcentral.
GGAUGAACGCUAGCUACAGGCUUAACACAUGCAAGUCGAGGGGCAUCAGGAAGAAAGCUUGCUUUCUUUGCUGGCGACCGGCGCACGGGUGAGUAACACGUAUCCAACCUGCCCUUUACUCGGGGAUAGCCUUUCGAAAGAAAGAUUAAUACCCGAUAGUAUAAUCAUUCCGCAUGGUUUGAUUAUUAAAGGAUUCCGGUAAAGGAUGGGGAUGCGUUCCAUUAGGUUGUUGGUGAGGUAACGGCCCACCAAGCCUUCGAUGGAUAGGGGUUCUGAGAGGAAGGUCCCCCACAUUGGAACUGAGACACGGUCCAAACUCCUACGGGAGGCAGCAGUGAGGAAUAUUGGUCAAUGGGCGCGAGCCUGAACCAGCCAAGUAGCGUGAAGGAUGACUGCCCUAUGGGUUGUAAACUUCUUUUAUAUUAGAAUAAAGUGCAGUAUGUAUACUGUUUUGUAUGUAUAAUAUGAAUAAGGAUCGGCUAACUCCGUGCCAGCAGCCGCGGUAAUACGGAGGAUCCGAGCGUUAUCCGGAUUUAUUGGGUUUAAAGGGAGCGUAGGUGGACUGGUAAGUCAGUUGUGAAAGUUUGCGGCUCAACCGUAAAAUUGCAGUUGAUACUGUCAGUCUUGAGUACAGUAGAGGUGGGCGGAAUUCGUGGUGUAGCGGUGAAAUGCUUAGAUAUCACGAAGAACUCCGAUUGCGAAGGCAGCUCACUGGACUGCAACUGACACUGAUGCUCGAAAGUGUGGGUAUCAAACAGGAUUAGAUACCCUGGUAGUCCACACAGUAAACGAUGAAUACUCGCUGUUUGCGAUAUACAGUAAGCGGCCAAGCGAAAGCAUUAAGUAUUCCACCUGGGGAGUACGCCGGCAACGGUGAAACUCAAAGGAAUUGACGGGGGCCCGCACAAGCGGAGGAACAUGUGGCUUAAUUCGAUGAUACGCGAGGAACCUUACCCGGGCUUAAAUUGCAGUGGAAUGAUGUGGAAACAUGUCAGUGAGCAAUCACCGCUGUGAAGGUGCUGCAUGGUUGUCGUCAGCUCGUGCCGUGAGGUGUCGGCUUAAGUGCCAUAACGAGCGCAACCCUUAUCUUCAGUUACUAACAGGUCAUGCUGAGGACUCUGGAGAGACUGCCGUCGUAAGAUGUGAGGAAGGUGGGGAUGACGUCAAAUCAGCACGGCCCUUACGUCCGGGGCUACACACGUGUUACAAUGGGGGGUACAGAAGGCAGCUACCUGGUGACAGGAUGCUAAUCCCAAAAGCCUCUCUCAGUUCGGAUCGAAGUCUGCAACCCGACUUCGUGAAGCUGGAUUCGCUAGUAAUCGCGCAUCAGCCACGGCGCGGUGAAUACGUUCCCGGGCCUUGUACACACCGCCCGUCAAGCCAUGGGAGCCGGGGGUACCUGAAGUACGUAACCGCAAGGAGCGUCCUAGGGUAAAACUGGUGACUGG